AGAAAAUAAGUUUCAAUAUUACCCUAUUAACAAAAUAAAAAAUUUGCAAAAAAAAUCGGAUGAGUACAAAAUGAAAAAAAAAAAAUCAUGGGAAAUGGUAACUUCGAGAAGUGGUUGCAUCCUGAUAUAGAUGGCAAAAAUCAAAAAACGAAUUCAAAACCUGCUUCAGAGAUUAAAUGUUGCGGUUGAUGUGGCGGCUGCUUUACAAUAUCUUCAUGAGCAAUGUAAAAUCCAAUAAUUCAUUGCGACUUGAAGCCCAGCAAUGUUCUUCUUGAAAGACUCAUGCAGAUCAUGGAACAAAACCUCCUCACAGAAGAAAUAGAAGAACGCAAAGCAGCAGCAAGAACAGCAACAGAAGAAGAAUCUAAGAAUG
RNAcentral lists this unclassified non-coding RNA (373 nucleotides) under Hevea brasiliensis (rubber tree). Lineage: Eukaryota; Viridiplantae; Streptophyta; Magnoliopsida; Malpighiales; Euphorbiaceae. The record is from RNAcentral.